GUCUAUGGCCAUGCCACUCUGAACAAGCCCAAUCCCAUCUGAUCUUGGAAGCUAAGCAGGGUCAGGCCUGGUAAGUACUUGGAUGGGAGACCACCUAGGAAGACCAGGUGCUGUAGGCA
This 119-nucleotide ribosomal RNA is filed under the name Pteropus alecto (black flying fox). The record is from RNAcentral. Lineage: Eukaryota; Metazoa; Chordata; Mammalia; Chiroptera; Pteropodidae.